RNAcentral lists this ribosomal RNA (123 nucleotides) under Periophthalmus magnuspinnatus. The record is from RNAcentral. Lineage: Eukaryota; Metazoa; Chordata; Actinopteri; Gobiiformes; Gobiidae.
UUGUAAGUACAAAUCAGUCCUAAACCUCCUUGUCAACGCGCAAUCUUGUCUCACCUCAGAAGCUAAGCGGGGUUGACCUGGUUAGCACUUUGAUGGGAGAUUGCUGGAAAUAGCAGGUGCAAU